AAAGGAAUAGACGGGGACCCGCACAAGCAGCGGAGCAUGUGGUUUAAUUCGAAGCAACGCGAAGAACCUUACCAGGACUUGACAUAUAGAUGACAGGUAUGGAGACAUACUAUUUCUUUCGAGAACAUCUAUACAGGUGGUGCAUGGUUGUCGUCAGCUCGUGUCGUGAGAUGUUGGGUUAAGUCCCGCAACGAGCGCAACCCUUAUUUUUAUUUGCCAUCAGGUAAUGCUGGGAACUAUAAAGAGACUGCCGAUAAGAAAUCGGAGGAAGGUGGGGAUGACGUCAAAUCAUCAUGCCCUAUAUGUCCUGGGCUACACACGUGCUACAAUGGUCGUUACAGAGAGCAGCGAAAUAGUGAUAUCAAGCAAAUCUCAAAAAGGCGAUCUCAGUUCGGAUUGUACUCUGCAACUCGAGUACAUGAAGUCGGAGUUGCUAGUAAUCGCGGAUCAGAAUGCCGCGGUGAAUGCGUUCCCGGGUCUUGUACACACCGCCCGU
RNAcentral lists this ribosomal RNA (496 nucleotides) under uncultured bacterium. Its description in RNAcentral is "bacterial SSU rRNA". It matches the Rfam family "Bacterial small subunit ribosomal RNA", at positions 903 to 1397 of the family's 1533-position model. The record is from RNAcentral.